CUUCUUUUUUGUAUUUAUCUCUUUAAUAUAGACGGAGCUGGAUGCCCAGACACCUGGGUAACUUUCCAUGGCAACUGCUAUUCUUUUGUAGACACGAGGCUAAACUGGUUCAGAGCAACUAACGCUUGUGAAGAAAAGGGCGCCAUCUUAGCUGAUAUAACAUCGAAAGACGAGGAUGAUUUUCUAAGGCACUAUGUACAACAUCUUCAUGCACACGAAGACCCAAAUAUCAUUGGAUA
Long non-coding RNA from Mercenaria mercenaria, 239 nucleotides. RefSeq lists it as uncharacterized. The transcript is spliced from 3 exons. NCBI's taxonomy places the organism in Eukaryota, Metazoa, Mollusca, Bivalvia, Venerida, Veneridae. The record is from RefSeq and is a predicted model, not a curated record.